GGCAAGUGGAGGAUGGCAAUUAAGGCUAUCCCUCUGCGAGAAAACAACCAAGCGCCGAGCCAGUUGGUUGCAUGAUGAAGAGAGACCUGCAAAACCAAGAAAAGACUCAGGAUCAGCGCUAUCAUUUGACCUGAACGAAGCUGCUGAUGCUGAGGAUGAUAAAGCUGAUGGCUCUCGCAAUUCAAGUGAUCUUACAAUUGAUCACGAGGAUGAACAUGUCCCCAACAACAGAUUACUAACUCCAACAGCUUCAUCAGUGUCUCCAGAGCUACUCAAUUCAGUAGACGACGAUAUUGUUUUCAAACCUGUGGACUUUGGCCUCAUUCGUUGCGAGGUUUCUAAUUCUAUAACCAAGAGGUUCUCCACCAUUAUCAGUGAUAGAGUCUCAUUUGAAAUUCAAGACCAGGCGCUUGAAAAGAUUGCUGGUGGGUUAUGGUUAAGCAAAGCAAGUUUAGAAGAAUGGACUGAGAAAGUAUUGGUUCCAAGCAUGCGCCAGCUCAAGCUACAGUUACCAACAUCCACUGAGGAAUCAUCCAUGGUUGUUUGGCUCGAACCCGACAGCGAUUCAGCCAGCCGAAGCCACACAGAUUGGCUGCCGAGCAGCGUCAGAGUAGUGGUUGGUGGGUUGUGAGCGUGGUGGGAGGGCACUCAUUUCUGUUUAAUAUAUAGAGAUGUAAAUAUUCUCCAACUGUUUUUGGCGGGUUGGUUGAAAGCGGUUGACAAGGGUAAAGAAGGAAAAUGGAUUAAAAAAAGAAAAACAGUCAGAGUAGAGGGAGACGUUGAUUGAUUAACGGAAACUUUAGACGGCAAGGUCUCGCCUUUUCUUUUUACUAUUAUUAUUAUUUUAUUACUUUGUUACAUGCCCCG
Molecule: unclassified non-coding RNA, 867 nt
Filed under: Hevea brasiliensis (rubber tree)
Lineage: Eukaryota; Viridiplantae; Streptophyta; Magnoliopsida; Malpighiales; Euphorbiaceae
Source: RNAcentral